This 64-nucleotide transfer RNA is filed under the name Curculio davidi. RNAcentral's name for it is "tRNA-Thr". It matches the Rfam family "tRNA". From Rfam's summary of the family: Transfer RNA (tRNA) molecules are approximately 80 nucleotides in length. Their secondary structure includes four short double-helical elements and three loops (D, anti-codon, and T loops). The record is from RNAcentral. Lineage: Eukaryota; Metazoa; Arthropoda; Insecta; Coleoptera; Curculionidae.
GUUUUAAUAAUUUAAUAAAAAUACUGGUCUUGUAAAUCAGAAAUAAGAGUAAUCUUUUAAAACU